This 253-nucleotide ribosomal RNA is filed under the name uncultured bacterium. RNAcentral describes it as "partial 16S ribosomal RNA". It matches the Rfam family "Bacterial small subunit ribosomal RNA", at positions 524 to 776 of the family's 1533-position model. The record is from RNAcentral.
UACAGAGGGUGCAAGCGUUGUUCGGAAUUAUUGGGCGUAAAGGGCGCGUAGGCGGUGCGGUAAGUCUGUAGUGAAAUCUCUGGGCUCAACUCAGAGUCUGCUAUAGAAACUGCCGUGCUUGAGUGUGGGAGAGGUGAGUGGAAUUCCCGGUGUAGCGGUGAAAUGCGUAGAUAUCUGGAGGAACACCGGUGGCGAAGGCGGCAUCCUGGACCAAUAUUGACGCUGAGGAGCGAAAGCCAGGGGAGCAAACGGG